Molecule: RNA transcript, 5707 nt
Organism: Momordica charantia (bitter melon)
Lineage: Eukaryota; Viridiplantae; Streptophyta; Magnoliopsida; Cucurbitales; Cucurbitaceae
Gene name: ARF guanine-nucleotide exchange factor GNOM
Source: RefSeq, a predicted model, not a curated record
CCAAACCUACAUCGCCGCAUCUCUUCCUCCACGACCGCACCCGUCGCCGCCGAGAACAUCUGCUCCUCCCGUCGCCGGCGUGCUGAGAUCUCCCGUCGCCGCAUCUCUGUUCCUCUCCCCUUCGGUUCUUCUGUCAAUCGAUUCCUCUCCCAUUUCAUUCAAUCGAUUCUCUGUGUCUCUAUACCCCACCAUUCCAAUCUCCCAAACAAUGCUGUCUUCUCACUCGCGGUUCCGCCCUCUCCACGUCGAGCCCAUCCACCAUCUCAGACGAAGCAUAAUUACCUCAUGUGCUUCCUUAACACAUAAAUAGUAGAUGGAAGGGGACAGAAUCCAAUGGAGAAACGUCUUCUGCAACUUCUCUGUGGUAUUUAUGCUUCUAUUAGAUAAAGACCAUAUGAAGUAACUUUACUUUCUUAGGCACUCUGGACUCCCGGAUCCAAGGGGGAUUUGAGUUUAGCUCUCGAUUUGGUGAGUUGGAGAAAGGCAGAUUUCGCCGUGACCCGUGAAGGAGCCAAAAGGGUCAAUCUUGGAAUUUGAAACCUAAAUUUAGCUUUGGAGGGUUAUCUAAUUUUUCUUUCUUCCCCCUGGGAACUGUUGAUUGUGCACAUUAGCAAGGUUUCUGCUCAUUAUUCUCACAGUACUUGGUAAACUUUAGUACUGUGAAGGGAACAUAUGCAAAGAUGGGGCGCUUGAAGCUGCAAACUGGAAUAAAUGCAAUUGAGGAAGAACCUGAGGAGUGUGAUGUCACAUAUACAAAUAAAACUGCUUUAGCUUGCAUGAUUAAUUCAGAAAUUGGUGCUGUAUUGGCAGUAAUGAGAAGAAAUGUAAGAUGGGGAGGUCGAUAUAUGUCAGGUGAUGAUCAAUUAGAACACUCUUUAAUUCAUUCACUGAAGGCAUUAAGAAGGCAGAUAUAUUCAUGGCAGCAUCCAUGGCAUACAAUCAACCCUGCUGUGUAUCUUCAACCAUUUUUAGAUGUAAUUAGAUCGGAUGAAACUGGGCCACCUAUUACUGGGGUUGCUUUAUCUUCUGUGUACAAGAUCUUAACUCUUGACAUGAUUGAUCAAAACACUGUUAAUGCUGGAGAUGCUGUUCACUUGAUAGUUGAUGCAGUUACCUGUUGUAGAUUUGAGUUAACAGAUCCUGCAUCAGAAGAAAUGGUUCUGAUGAAAAUACUUCAGGUUCUUCUUGCUUGUAUGAAAAGUAAGGCAUCCAUUWUGUUGAGCAAUCAGCAUGUCUGCACCAUUGUGAAUACUUGUUUUCGCAUAGUUCAUCAAGCAGGCUCAAAGGGUGAGCUAUUGCAACGGAUAGCUCGCCACACAGUUCAUGAGCUUGUUAGGUGUAUCUUUUCACAUCUUUCAAGAAUCAAUACUACAGAACGUGCACUGGUCGGUGGCAAUAGUUCCAGCAAACAGGAGGCUGGUACAGCGGCUAAUGAUGACCAUGUGCUUGGAAGUAGACUAUUGGAGAAUGGAAACUUGGGCCAUGCAUUUGAUUGUCAAUCAUCAUCCAACAAUUUUCAAUCCAAUUCUUCAUCAGGUCCGAUGGCAACUGGGAUGGAGGAAAAUUUACUUGAGGAUGGUAGCACGAAGGAUACUGUUCCAUUUAACUUUCAUCUCAUGAAUGAACCUUAUGGGGUACCCUGCAUGGUGGAAAUUUUUAGAUUCCUCUGUUCAUUGUUAAAUCUAGUUGAGCAUAUGGAGUUGGGAGCUAGGUCAAAUACAAUGGCUUUUGAUGAAGAUGUUCCUCUUUUUGCCUUGGGAUUGAUAAAUUCAGCAAUUGAGCUGGGUGGCCCUUCCUUCCGGCAUCACCCUAGGUUAUUGAGUUUAAUCCAAGAUGAACUAUUUCGAAAUCUUAUGCAAUUUGGUUUAUCAACAAGCUCGCUAAUCCUUUCAAUGGUUUGUAGCAUUGUUCUCAAUCUAUACCACCAUCUGCGCACUGAGCUAAAGUUGCAGCUUGAGGCUUUUUUUUCAUGUGUAAUUUUGAGGCUUGCUCAAAGUAGGUAUGGGGCUUCAUACCAGCAGCAGGAGGUUGCCAUGGAGGCUCUUGUUGAUUUCUGCAGGCAGAAGACAUUUAUGGUGGAGAUGUAUGCAAACUUAGAUUGUGACAUAACUUGCAGUAAUAUCUUUGAAGAUCUUGCUAAUCUUCUGUCAAAGAGUGCUUUUCCAGUUAAUAGUCCUUUGUCUUCAACGCAUAUCCUCGCUUUGGAUGGUCUUAUUGCCAUUAUUCAGGGAAUGGCGGAGAGGAUAGGUAAUGGAACAGGCCUAGAAAAUAGUCCUGUGAAUCUUGAGGAAUAUACUCCUUUCUGGAUGGUAAAAUGUGAAAAUUACAGUGAUCCUAAUCAAUGGGUUCCAUUUGUGAGAAGGAAAAAGUACAUCAAGAGACGGUUAAUGAUUGGAGCUGAUCACUUUAACCGUGAUCCCAAGAAAGGUCUGGAGUUCCUUCAAGGAACCCAUCUCUUGCCCGAUAAACUUGAUCCCAAAAGUGUAGCCUGCUUUUUCAGGUACACUGCUGGUUUGGAUAAAAAUCUGGUUGGGGACUUCCUUGGAAAUCACGAUGAGUUUUGUGUCCAGGUUCUUCAUGAAUUUGCUUGGACUUUUGAUUUUCAGGACAUGAAUUUGGAUACUGCUUUGCGACUGUUUUUGGAAACUUUCAGACUCCCUGGAGAAUCACAGAAGAUACAAAGGGUGCUUGAGGCAUUCUCUGAGAGAUAUUAUGAACAGUCACCUCAAAUUCUUGUGAAUAAGGAUGCUGCUCUUUUACUAUCAUAUUCACUCAUUAUGCUCAAUACAGAUCAGCACAAUGUUCAAGUGAAAAAGAAGAUGACGGAAGAAGAUUUCAUUCGGAAUAGCAGGCACAUAAAUGGAGGCAAUGAUCUACCAAGAGAUUUCCUCUCUGAGUUGUAUCACUCAAUCUGUAAGAACGAGAUUCGUACGACUCCGGAACAAGGCAAUAGUUUUCCUGAAAUGACCCCGAGCCGAUGGAUAGAUCUGAUGCUUAAAUCCAAGAAAUCCUCUCCAUUCAUUGUGUCUGAUUCUAAAGCCUACCUUGAUCGUGACAUAUUUGCUAUAAUGUCAGGGCCAACAAUUGCUGCUAUAUCCGUGGUAUUUGAUCAUGCAGAACAUGAAGAAGUCUAUAAAACAUGUAUUGAUGGAUUCUUAGGUGUUGCAAAGAUCUCCGCGUGCCAUCAUCUUGAAGAUGUACUUGAUGAUCUUGUUGUGUCCCUCUGCAAGUUCACGACCCUCUUGAACCCAUCAUCUGUUGAGGAGCCUGUGCUGGCCUUUGGUGAUGAUACAAAAGCUAGGAUGGCGACUAUGACAGUUUUCACCAUUGCCAACAGGUAUGGUGACAUCAUUCGCACAGGUUGGAGAAACAUCCUUGAUUGCAUCUUACGGUUGCACAAGCUUGGUCUUCUCCCAGCCCGUGUUGCCAGUGAUGCAGCUGAUGAAUCAGAACUUUCUACUGACACUGGGCACGGAAAGCCGCUUACAAGUUCUUUAUCUGCUGCUCAUAUACAGUCAAUUGGAACUCCCAAGAGAUCCUCCGGAUUGAUGGGACGGUUUAGUCAGCUCUUAUCACUUGACACUGAGGAGCCAAGGUCACAGCCUACCGAACAACAACUUGCUGCUCAUCAGCGUACCCUUCAGACUAUUCAGAAGUGCAAUAUUGACAGCAUUUUUACAGAGAGCAAGUUUCUUCAGGCUGAAUCUCUAUUACAGCUGGCACAAGCACUCAUAUGGGCUGCCGGACGGCCCCAGAAAGGAAACAGCUCUCCUGAGGAUGAAGAUACUGCAGUCUUCUGUCUGGAAUUGCUGAUUGCCAUUACUCUGAAUAAUCGAGAUCGAAUCGUGCUUCUUUGGCCAGGUGUUUAUGAUCACAUAUCUACUAUUGUGCAGUCAACUGUCAUGCCCUGUGCCCUGGUGGAGAAAGCUGUUUUUGGACUUCUCCGUAUCUGCCAGCGGUUGCUUCCUUAUAAGGAGAACCUUGCAGAUGAACUUUUGAGAUCUUUGCAACUUGUCUUGAAGCUAGAUGCUCGGGUUGCUGAUGCAUACUGUGAGCAAAUUACACAGGAAGUAAGUCGCCUAGUAAAAGCAAAUGCCUCUCAUAUUAGAUCCCCAUCUGGAUGGCGAACAAUAACAUCCCUACUCUCGAUUACAGCUCGCCACCCGGAAGCAUCUGAGGCAGGAUUUGAUGCGCUACUAUUCAUUGUAUCUGACGGUGCUUACUUGUUACCAGCAAAUUAUACCCUCUGCAUAGAUGCCUCAAGGAAAUUUGCUGAGUCUCGUGUUGGACAGGCUGAACGCUCUUUACGCGCAUUGGAUCUUAUGGCUGGAUCUGUUGAUUGUUUAGCACGGUGGGCUAGGGAGGGUAAGGAAGCUGCAAGGGAGGAGGAAGCAAUUAAAAUGUCACAAGAUAUUGGAGACAUGUGGCUGAGGCUUGUGCAAGGGUUGAGAAAAGUUUGUUUGGACCAACGAGAGGAGGUUAGAAACCAGGCCCUGCUGUCGUUCCAGAAGUGUUUGAUAAGUGUUGAUGAAAUCCACCUUCCACAUGGUUUGUGGUCACAGUGUUUCGAUCUUGUGAUCUUCACAAUGCUCGAUGAUUUACUUGAAAUUGCACAAGGACACUCUCAGAAGGAUUACAGAAACAUGGAAGGGACACUGAUCCUUGCCAUGAAACUCUUGUCCAAAGUGUUCUUACUGUUGCUCCAGGAUCUUUCUCAGUUAACAAACUUUUGCAAACUAUGGCUUGGUGUUCUUAGCCGAAUGGAAAAGUAUGCAAAAGCUAAAGUUAGAGGGAAAAGAAGUGAAAAGCUUCAAGAGCUAGUUCCUGAACUGCUCAAGAACACCUUGCUUGUUAUGAAAACUAAGGGGGUGCUAGUUCAAAGGAGUGCGCUAGGUGGAGAUGGCUUGUGGGAACUCACAUGGCUGCAUGUAAAUAACAUUUCUCCCCCGUUGCAAUCCGAGGUUUUCCCGGAUCAAGAUUCCGACCACUUACUCGGUCAGGGUGAAAAAGGCGGCGUAACAUCCAGUGAAGUGAAUUCUGUUUCUUGGACUGAAAGGGUAGCAUCAGACAGUGCUGGAACUGGAGGGUAGUAUUAUUCAGUUGGAAAUCUCAAACUUGUUUCUGCUAGUGAUGUCACUAUGCAUAUACUUCAGCAUCAGGACAAAGUUUUUGUCUAGAAUUAGUCUGUACCCAUCCAGUAAUUCUUAAAUUUACUGAACGGAUGAUAGGGCACAUCUAUACUGGAGCUUGCUUUGUUUACGGAUCUAUACAAUUAGAGAGAGGCUAUGAAAGUGAGAGCAUGUUUGAGAGCCAGAUGAUGCCAUUAACAAGAGUAAAAAGGUUCUAAGCACGAUGUCUCGAAGAAUCAGUUGAAAUAAAUGGAUAGUCGGGUCAGUAAUUGGCGUUUUGGUACUCGUAAUCAUCCUCAUACUGUAUCUUAAGCUUUCACAUCAUUAAAAGAUGUUUCCUUGAUCACAAAAGGAGACAUACUCUUAUCAUUUGAUUUUCCAAUCGUAUCGAUUGGUUGUCGAUCAUAUGUUUGAUGUAUUUUGUAAUCAGUAUGUGGUAUUCAUGUCUGUAAUUGAAUCAAAUCUUGUGCUUGAUAGUGUUAUGAUCAAUCAAUACCCAGAUAGUAGGCAUUUCUUGAUUGUAUGUAUUUGGUGGUUACUUUCUGUAUCUGCACUUGGUAAAUCAGGACACUAGUGAA